This is a long non-coding RNA of Rhipicephalus microplus (southern cattle tick), 1893 nucleotides long. Lineage: Eukaryota; Metazoa; Arthropoda; Arachnida; Ixodida; Ixodidae. The record is from RefSeq and is a predicted model, not a curated record.
UCCAGGGCUAGAUCGUUCAUUCUCACCUUUCCUUCCUCCGUGGUUCAUUCUCCUCCGGUCUGAUCGUUUUUUUUUUUUUUCUCACGAUCUGCGCGCGUUUUCUGAAGUGUAACUUGGUGCGACCAGCAAACGUACGCGUGAUAAGUAAAAUCAGCAUCGCCUUGGACAAAUUCUGCUACCACUUGAGUUUUAUCGCCGUGGAUUUGACAUGCUGAAACGUCACGCAGAGUGGAUCUUCGCAGCACACUCAGCCGAAGGAGGGCUCCAUUGUUUUAAGAGACAGUGAUAAUGAUGGCCCACAGGUAAUCUACAUAAGCAGUAGUGACAGUGACGAUGAGUUCGUUUUUCACCCUGACGGAAGUUUCGAACUAAGAGAAAUACCUGCCAAAAAAAAUAAACUUGAAAAGCAAGAGCCCACUGGCCAAGAAGAAACAGCGGGAACAAGCACAUCGCCCGAAGCACAGCUGCCCUCUGUGGAUCCACGGCGUGCAAGACAGUUGGUUGCACCAAUCAUCUGCAGCAACCAUGGUGUCUUCUAUAAUGCUGUGCUCAACCAGACUUGUCUCGAAAAGAAUCGGAACAAAUUUUACUACAUGCAGCUUGUGAGGGAUCUGUGCAAUGACAACCACUACGUGUGGUUUAGCUGGGGCCGUGUUGGAGAAAGUGGAUCAAUAAUUUUGAUCCCCUAUCAGAAAGACAUCUUGAAAGUGCAGUUACUGUUUGAAAGAAGCUUCUACUCGAAGACCGGCAAUUGGUGGGAGGUAUGGGCGAAAGACAGGAAAUUUGAAAAGAGGAAGGGGAAGUACGACAUGCUCAAAAUGGACUACUCUGGUUCUAAAACCCAAGAAGAGAAUAUUCAGCAGCUGUAUGAGGACAUUGCCAAUAAUUUUGCAUCAAGCAGGCUCAAACCCAAUUUACUGAAACUCAUGUCUCUGAUAUUUGAUCUCGAAGAAAAUGAAAGAAACUGUUGUUGAUAUGAAGUUUGAUUUGGUAAAAUUACCCUUGCGAAUGCUCACAAAGGAACAGAUCCUCACAGGUUAUAAGGCACUUCAUAAGAUUGAAGAUUGCAUUAAGAGGGAAAGCGACAAAAGUGAACUUGUAGAGGCCUGUAGUGAGUUUUACACCUGCAUUCCUAAUUUAUUUUCGCGAAGGGAAAGGCCCACUUUGAUUUGUACUGAUCUACUUGUACAACAGAAGAUGGAGCUGCUUGAGAAACUCAUGUCUCUGAUAUUUGAUCUCGAAGAAAAUGAGAGAAACUGUUGUUGAUAUGAAGUUUGAUUUGGUAAAAUUACCCUUGCGAAUGCUCACAAAGGAACAGAUCCUCACAGGUUAUAAGGCACUUCAUAAGAUUGAAGAUUGCAUUAAGAGGGAAAGUGACAAAAGUGAACUUGUAGAGGCCUGUAGUGAGUUUUACACCUGCAUUCCUAAUUUAUUUUCGCGAAGGGAAAGGCCCACUUUGAUUUGUACUGAUCUACUUGUACAACAGAAGAUGGAGCUGCUUGAGAUGUGUGUGCCGAGGUGGAGCAGUGGCUAAGGAACUCAACUCCAAACCUGAAGGUCGCGGGUUCGAUCCUGGCCGCGCCGGAUGCAUUUUUAUGUCGGCGAAAUGGUAGAAGCCAAUGCGCUGUGCGAUGUUCAGGCACGUUAAAUAACACCAGAUGGUCAAAAUUUCUGGAGCCCUCCACAACGGCAUCUCUCAUAAUCAUGUCAUGGUUUUGAAAGAUAAAGCCCCAGAUAUUAUUGGUUAUUAGUUUCAAAUGUGCCAACAUGUAUGAUGAGUACCAGUGUGAAUGCUGACAUCCAAAAUCUUCACUGAUAAUCAUGCAGAGCUGUCUAUGCUGUUUCUGUGGUAAUAAUAAAUAAUAAAUAUUAGAAUACAAGGUGUUACAUUGC